This 1007-nucleotide long non-coding RNA is filed under the name Bos indicus x Bos taurus (hybrid cattle). Its description in RNAcentral is "lncRNA (ENSBIXG00000004112.1)". Lineage: Eukaryota; Metazoa; Chordata; Mammalia; Artiodactyla; Bovidae. The record is from RNAcentral.
CUCCUAAGAGUAUUCCAGAUUUCCUUUUAAAACUAAAGAAAAUACGAGUAGCAUGAGUUCAAUUCACCAAAAUGGUUCAAGACUUUUUGGCUUCUAGACGUUUUCCCAAGCCAGUCGAUUGAACUUCACACAUUGCCCAUUCUGCAGUGCAUCCUGUCCACAUCGCUUUCUUUCCUGACAGAAUUCCUAGGGUGAGGUGGAUUCCUGACGCUGGGCCGAGGAAUCUGUAAACAGAAGCUUUUGUAGAUUCUUAGUCCACUUUCUUGACAAACUUGCUGCAGUAUGCCCUUUCUAAAUGGACUUAAGUGCACAGAAUUGGAUUAACCAUAAUCCUUGCUUCAUACCAUAGUCUCACUACUAAUCCAUGUCUGGAUGUUAUUAAUUACUGGGAUAUAAUGGAUACCUAAACGUCCACCAGCUGACCCCACAUUUGGAACACUGGUAAUAUCUUUGGUCUCCGUAGGUGCUUUCUUCGCAUCCUUCCCCCUACAUUCCAUGGUUCUCAAAAAAAGGGAAUAGCCUUUUUUCUUCUUCUCUUCCUCCUCCUUUUUAAAUCACUCAUGUUCCAAGAUUCAUCUUUGUUGUAGCUUGUAGCUAUAGUUAAAUGUUCACUGCUGGGUAUUGUUCUACUCUAGAUAUAGUACAAUUUAUGUAUCUGUUUCCCCAUCAGUAGGCACAGUCUAUAACUUUACCAUGCCCAACUCUUGACAAAGUUGUGAAGUAGGAUGGAGUUUGUCUUUGAUGACUUUAGUAUAUUUUUCUACCCUUCCUUAUCCUCUUCUCAGAAGAUCGUCUAGGCCUCCUGCCUGUCACCUAGUGUUGUGUAAUAAAUGUUUAUUGAAUGAAGAUUUUAAGUGACAGAGAAGAUUGAGGGCAACUCGAGUCAAAUGGAUGCAACUUCCCUGAGCACUGCGCUGAAGAAGCUUCUGCAGCCUCUUCUCAGCUCAGAGGGAAGACUGCCAGGCGAAGUACAAAAGGAACUAGAACCUUCUACUCCACCCCACCUG